RNAcentral lists this ribosomal RNA (405 nucleotides) under uncultured bacterium. Its description in RNAcentral is "bacterial SSU rRNA". It matches the Rfam family "Bacterial small subunit ribosomal RNA", at positions 355 to 775 of the family's 1533-position model. The record is from RNAcentral.
UUGGGAAUCUUGCACAAUGGGGGAAACCCUGAUGCAGCGACGCCGCGUGGAGGAUGAAGGAUCUAGGUUCGUAAACUCCUUUUUCAGGGAAAGACUUAGGACGGUACCCUGAGAAUAAGCUCCGGCUAACUACGUGCCAGCAGCCGCGGUAAGACGUAGGGAGCAAGCGUUGUCCGGAUUUACUGGGCGUAAAGGGCGCGUAGGCGGCUUGUUAAGUGUGAAGUGAAAUCUCCAGUGCUCAACACGGAAACUGCUUCGCAUACUGGCAAGCUUGAGGGAUGAAGAGGUAAGUGGAAUUCCUGGUGUAGCGGUGAAAUGCGUAGAUAUCAGGAGGAACACCCAUGGCGAAGGCAGCUUACUGGUCAUCUCCUGACGCUGAGGCGCGAAAGCGUGGGUAGCAAACAG